UUUCUAUUUCAAUGGGGGCUUGUGAGGCUAUGAACUCAAGGGCUCUUAAUGCUAUGACCAAAGAUGUCACUCAGUAGUGCUGUAUUUUCCUUAGGAGAUAUAUGA
RNAcentral lists this small nucleolar RNA (105 nucleotides) under Castor canadensis (American beaver). Its description in RNAcentral is "Small nucleolar RNA SNORA25 (ENSCCNG00000013459.1)". Lineage: Eukaryota; Metazoa; Chordata; Mammalia; Rodentia; Castoridae. The record is from RNAcentral.